GGCGGAUCCCGUUACCAACGGCCGAUUCCAUCUUUUGGAGAAGCGAAACCCGAUGUCACCGUCGGCGAGACCUCAGUCUCUUCGUCUUAUGGAAGAGCGACCGAGCCUCGCUGUUGCUACCGCUGCUGUCCGAGGGGCUUCCCCGGUUUAGGUUGAGUUCAUCAUCGACUACCUUACCACUUCUUCUUCCGCCCUUACGAUCGAUGCACAUCCAUCACGUAGCUACUGACGAAAUGGGCAUUCCUCAGAUAAAUGUGUUGGACCAGGAGGUUGGUAUGGUGACACCUAUGUGCCUACAUCUAACAUCCAAAGAUCUGCUAGAUAAGUUAUUCAAGGAACAUCUUAUAUGCUAAUUCAAUGUGCCAAUUGCUUUAGCUUCAAGUACCCGAUGAAUCUUUGUCACUGCUUAUGGGAAUGGGUUACAAAGAAAAUGCAGCGAAAAGGGCGCUAAGAAUGACCGGUCAAGACGUUCAGCCAGCAGUUCAUUUCCUGGUUGAAGAGCUAGGAAAAUACUCAGGAAACAGGAGAAUAUUCAGCGACAAGGAGAGAUUUUGUAUAGCUCUAUACUUUGCCAGAGAAUGUUUUUAUCUUAUUUUUUAGUUAAUGAUUGUUGCUGAUUGUAUGAACUUGUAGAGAACAGAGGAGAUAUGGUACUAAUAAAUCAUGGCAUAUAGCAUAAUGUGACAGAUGUAAUGGCUUUGCUUCUGUGGAUUGUGAAACAUUAGAUUGUGUCAGGCACUUAUCAGAUUGCUCUCUGGUGUCUAGGAUCAAUACAUGUACACUACUAGUCAAUCUAUUUUGCAGUUUUGAUAGAGAUCUUGCUGCACAGGCUCUUAGGGUGAAUGAAAAUGAAGUUCAAAAAGCGUUAGAUCUUUUGACAAAUCCUGAGAGCCCUUCAGGUACUUGGUUUUCUUUAGAGUGCUUCUCUAUUAUCAUUUUCACUAACUAAUGACCUUUUGACUGCCAGAGUCGACUUGGAAGUUGGGAGUAUCGGAUUCUUCAGGUGCAGACGUUGAGGAAUUAGUAUCCAUGGGGUAUAACCGAUCACCAGUUGUGGACGCUGUGCAAAGGUCACGUACCAAGGAGGAUGUGUUGAAACUUCUUGUCGGAGCAAAUUCAGAGGAUAGCCAGCAUGCUACAAUCAACCAACCGAAAGAUGAUUAAGGGCCAUCAGCUGCUUUAGCUAAUGAUGAUAAAAUGGAUCUGGGAGGAGAACACAAAUAUGAGAGAGACGAAGCCAUGGAAUAUGAGCUUGCUCCUUUGGCAGACUACAACACGGAAGUAAUGAAAGGAGAGGCCACAACAAAGUGUUUGGCCAUUCUGGAUUCAAAAGCCAAUGCAACAUAGGAAAUAAGAUACAUAGGAAGAAUCCCGUAAAUAAGUAAGAUAGUGUAGUUUCCUUUUGUAUCCUCCAGCAUUAAUAUAUUAUUAUAGAAGAUACGACUGCGAUUUCUUUUUUUAAGUAGCUUUAAGUUUUAUUUUUUCUCUUUCUGUAAUCAUCAUUUCCAAAUGGGUUUUUAUGUAUUUCUGGCAAUGUGCACCCAG
Musa acuminata AAA Group (dessert banana) is the source of this 1545-nucleotide RNA transcript. RefSeq lists it as uncharacterized. NCBI's taxonomy places the organism in Eukaryota, Viridiplantae, Streptophyta, Magnoliopsida, Zingiberales, Musaceae. The record is from RefSeq and is a predicted model, not a curated record. The transcript is spliced from 5 exons.